Small nucleolar RNA from Onychomys torridus (southern grasshopper mouse), 104 nucleotides. RefSeq annotates it as small nucleolar RNA U13. NCBI's taxonomy places the organism in Eukaryota, Metazoa, Chordata, Mammalia, Rodentia, Cricetidae. The record is from RefSeq and is a predicted model, not a curated record. The transcript has a single exon.
AUCCUCUCGCGGAUCCUACGUCUGAUGACUGGGUUUUCACAUGGCCGCCUGAGAUGUGCCUCCCAGAAUCCUAGUCAGAGCAUCAGUGCAUUCCCCGUCUCACA